RNAcentral lists this transfer RNA (69 nucleotides) under Ictidomys tridecemlineatus (thirteen-lined ground squirrel). RNAcentral's name for it is "Spermophilus tridecemlineatus (thirteen-lined ground squirrel) tRNA". It matches the Rfam family "tRNA". Rfam says of the family: Transfer RNA (tRNA) molecules are approximately 80 nucleotides in length. The record is from Rfam by way of RNAcentral. Lineage: Eukaryota; Metazoa; Chordata; Mammalia; Rodentia; Sciuridae.
GGGGUUGUGGCUCAGCGGUAGAGCGCUUGCCUGGUAUGCACGAGGCCCUGGGUUAAAUUCUCAACACCA